Non-coding RNA from Betta splendens (Siamese fighting fish), 74 nucleotides. Lineage: Eukaryota; Metazoa; Chordata; Actinopteri; Anabantiformes; Osphronemidae. The record is from the annotation of a RefSeq genome assembly.
GUCUCGUUGGCGCAGUAGGCAGCGCGUCAGUCUCAUAAUCUGAAGGUUCGUGAGUUCAAGCCUCACACGAGGCA